Budorcas taxicolor (takin) is the source of this 1050-nucleotide non-coding RNA. The record is from the annotation of a RefSeq genome assembly. NCBI's taxonomy places the organism in Eukaryota, Metazoa, Chordata, Mammalia, Artiodactyla, Bovidae.
AUGCGGGCCCCAGCACUGCUUCUGGUUGUCUUGGCUCCCAUCAUGCAGGUAUCUUCCAACUUGAUGUUAAUCACUAGAAAGACUGGGGAGACUGCUUCGUUCCCUUGUGAUCUUACACGAAGGGCCACCUAUAUCCACUUGUACAAACAUGAAGAGGGGAUGGCCCCCCGACGCCUUUUAUACUACGACAGCUAUAACUCAAAGCCUGUGUUUGAAUCAGGAAUCAGUGGAACAAAAUACCAUGUCUAUAAGGACACAGGGAGGAGCUAUACAUUUGCAAUCGUAAAUCUGCAAGCAAGUGAUUCCGGCAUAUACUACUGUGCUAUUUGGGAUAACAGCUCGGGCUGGAAGAAGAUAUUUGGAGAAGGAGCUAACAUCAUAGUAACUCCUCCCGAGAGAAACCUUGCUGCAGACACUUCCCCCAAGCCCACUGUUUUUCUUCCUUCAAUUGCCGAAAUCAACCAUGAUAAUGCUGGAACAUAUCUUUGUCUCCUGGAGAAAUUUUUCCCUGAUGUUAUUACCGUCUCUUGGAGAGCAAAAAAUGACAAAAGAGCUCUGCCAUCCCAGCAGGGAAACACCAUGAAGACCAAGGACACAUACAUGAAGCUCAGCUGGCUGACCGUGACCGAAAACUCUAUGGAUAAACAACAUGUGUGUGUUGUCAAACACCAGAAAAAUAUAGGAGGAAUUGAUCAAGAGAUUAUUUUUCCUUCAAUAAAAGAAGUUGUCACCUCAGCUGUCACUACUACUGAGCCUCCAACUACUGAGCCUCCAACUACUGAGCCUCCAAAUGAUUAUUUGACUGAUGAAAGCAUUACAGGUAUUGGUUCUAAAAAAGCUUGUCUGAAAGACGAAAGUGUCACUGGUGAUACUAAUUCUACAAAGGCACGUCUGGAAGGUGAAAACAGUGCCCUGCAGCUGCAGCUCACGACCACCUCUGCCUAUUACACCUACCUCUUACUCCUCCUCCGGAGCACAGGCUACUUUGUUGUCAUCAUUGCCUGUGUGUUUAGGAGAACCGGCGCCUGCUGUGACGGGAAGAUCUCAUGA